Molecule: ribosomal RNA, 133 nt
Filed under: uncultured bacterium
Lineage: Bacteria
Description: partial 16S ribosomal RNA
Rfam family: Bacterial small subunit ribosomal RNA
Source: RNAcentral
CCUNCGGGAGGCAGCAGCAAGGAAUAUUGUGCAAUGGGCGAAAGCCUGACACAGCGACGCCGCGUGGGGGAUGAAGGCCUUCGGGUUGUAAACCCCUUUUCUCANGGAAGAAUAAUGACGGUACCUCAGGAAU